Molecule: ribosomal RNA, 120 nt
Filed under: Lepisosteus oculatus (spotted gar)
Lineage: Eukaryota; Metazoa; Chordata; Actinopteri; Semionotiformes; Lepisosteidae
Source: RNAcentral
GCCAGCAGCCAUAUCACCCUGUAGCUCACAACUGGCAACCCACUGAAGCUAAGCAGGCGUGAGCCUGGACAGUACCUGGAUGGGGAGACAUCCUGGGUAAAACUAAGGUUGGUGCUGGAA